This 582-nucleotide ribosomal RNA is filed under the name Lyophyllum semitale. RNAcentral describes it as "partial 12S ribosomal RNA". It matches the Rfam family "Bacterial small subunit ribosomal RNA", at positions 393 to 919 of the family's 1533-position model. The record is from RNAcentral. Lineage: Eukaryota; Fungi; Basidiomycota; Agaricomycetes; Agaricales; Lyophyllaceae.
GAAAUCACAUGAGUCAUGCUUUAUGUUGGUGAUUGUGAUAACGUAAGGGAAAAAAAUGAUAUUACCUUACUAUUAGUGUUGUCCAAAACUGGUGCCAGAAGACUCGGUAAGGCCAGAGACGCGAACGUUAGUCGUCCUAAUCAGGCGUAAAGGGUGUGUAGGCUGCUUUAAAAGUUAGAUCUUUCUCCCAAACCUGUAAAGGGAAGGGACAAGCUCUUUUUAUGUUGUAUAUUAAUAAAAAUAAAAUAGUAAUUUUAAUUUAUAAAUAACCGUACUAAGGUAAAGAUAGAAUUAAUUAAAGCUAGGAUCAAAACGAGGAUAAGCCAAAUAAUACUUAGAGUAGGGAUUAUAUCCGCAGAUACUAAGGGGAAUACUAAAGGUGAAAGCUUUUUAUCUAGUAAUGAUUGACGCUGAGAAACGAAGGUGAGAAUAGGAAAUAGGAUUAGAUACCCAGAUACCUCUCACUGUCAACGAUGAAUGGUGGUUGUUAGUUUUUUAAAAACUGGUAACGAUGUUAACACGAUAACCAUUCCGCCUUGCGAGUACGGUUGCAAAACUGAAACCAAAAAAAUUAGUCGGUCU